Molecule: ribosomal RNA, 253 nt
Filed under: uncultured bacterium
Lineage: Bacteria
Description: partial 16S ribosomal RNA
Rfam family: Bacterial small subunit ribosomal RNA
Source: RNAcentral
UACGAAGGGUGCUAGCGUUGUUCGGAAUCACUGGGCGUAAAGCGCGCGUAGGCGGCUUUUCAAGUCAGGGGUGAAAUGCCAAGGCUUAACCUUGGAACUGCCUUUGAAACUGUAAAGCUGGAGUGUCGGAGGGGAUGGCGGAAUUCCUAAUGUAGUGGUGAAAUACGUAGAUAUUAGGAGGAACACCGGUGGCGAAGGCGGCCAUCUGGACGACAACUGACGCUGAGGCGCGAAAGCGUGGGGAUCAAACAGG